CUACGGAAGGUCCGGGCGUUAUCCGGAUUUAUUGGGUUUAAAGGGAGCGCAGGCGGAGAUGCAAGCGUGACGUCAAAUUUCGGGGCUCAACCCCGUCUCGCGUCGCGAACUGCGUCCCUUGGUUGCGGGAAGGGGAGGCGGAACUCGUGGUGUAGCGGGGAAAUGCAUAGAUAUCACGAAGAACUCCGAUCGCGAAGGCAGCCUUCCGGCCCGUCAACGACGCUCAUGCUCGAAGGUGCGGGUAUCAAACAGGAUUAGAUACCCUGGUAGUCCGCACAGUAAACGAUGGACACCCGCGGUUUGGCCUAUAUGGCUGAGCCGCCAAGCGAAAGCGUUAAGUGUCCCACCUGGGGAGUACGCCGGCAACGGUGAAACUCAAAUGAACUGACGGG
RNAcentral lists this ribosomal RNA (392 nucleotides) under uncultured bacterium. RNAcentral describes it as "partial 16S ribosomal RNA". It matches the Rfam family "Bacterial small subunit ribosomal RNA", at positions 523 to 917 of the family's 1533-position model. The record is from RNAcentral.